This 496-nucleotide ribosomal RNA is filed under the name uncultured bacterium. Its description in RNAcentral is "partial 16S ribosomal RNA". It matches the Rfam family "Bacterial small subunit ribosomal RNA", at positions 28 to 506 of the family's 1533-position model. The record is from RNAcentral.
GAUGAACGCUGGCGGCGUGCCUAAUACAUGCAAGUCGAGCGAACAGACGAGGAGCUUGCUCCUCUGACGUUAGCGGCGGACGGGUGAGUAACACGUGGAUAACCUACCUAUAAGACUGGGAUAACUUCGGGAAACCGGAGCUAAUACCGGAUAAUAUAUUGAACCGCAUGGUUCAAUAGUGAAAGACGGUUUUGCUGUCACUUAUAGAUGGAUCCGCGCCGCAUUAGCUAGUUGGUAAGGUAACGGCUUACCAAGGCAACGAUGCGUAGCCGACCUGAGAGGGUGAUCGGCCACACUGGAACUGAGACACGGUCCAGACUCCUACAGGAGGCAGCAGUAGGGAAUCUUCCGCAAUGGGCGAAAGCCUGACGGAGCAACGCCGCGUGAGUGAUGAAGGUCUUCGGAUCGUAAAACUCUGUUAUUAGGGAAGAACAAAUGUGUAAGUAACUAUGCACGUCUUGACGGUACCUAAUCAGAAAGCCACGGCUAACUACGU